RNAcentral lists this transfer RNA (73 nucleotides) under Dipodomys ordii (Ord's kangaroo rat). It matches the Rfam family "tRNA". Rfam says of the family: Transfer RNA (tRNA) molecules are approximately 80 nucleotides in length. Their secondary structure includes four short double-helical elements and three loops (D, anti-codon, and T loops). Further hydrogen bonds mediate the characteristic L-shaped molecular structure. tRNAs have two regions of fundamental functional importance: the anti-codon, which is responsible for specific mRNA codon recognition, and the 3' end, to which the tRNAs corresponding amino acid is attached (by aminoacyl-tRNA synthetases). tRNAs cope with the degeneracy of the genetic code in two manners: having more than one tRNA (with a specific anti-codon) for a particular amino acid; and 'wobble' base-pairing, i.e. permitting non-standard base-pairing at the 3rd anti-codon position. Lineage: Eukaryota; Metazoa; Chordata; Mammalia; Rodentia; Heteromyidae. The record is from Rfam by way of RNAcentral.
GGCAAUGUGGCUCAGUGGUAGAGCGCUUGCCUUGCAUGCAUGAGGCGUGCAAGGAUUCAAUUCCUCAGUACCA